UUGUUUAAAUAUGGAAUAUUAAAUUUGUGUUUUAGUGGCAAAGAUCAUGCACAACAUACAGAUCAUGGACAAAGGUGUUGUUAGAUCUGGAGCACAAACGGGCUACCAUGGAAACGAACCUCUACAUCUAGGCAGUGGUGCAAAUGGAAAACAGACAUUCAGAUCUACAAAGUUGUACGGCAGAUUCUGGAGUACAAAACGGUUACCAUGGAAACAUACAUCUAGGCAGUGGUAUAGAUGGAUGACCGACAUCUAGAUCUGCAAAGUUAUACAGCAUAUUUUGGAGAAUACAUGGUAUGAAGUUUACUUUUAAUUUCUUGUAACACUAUAAUACAUUUGUUUCUGUCUUUACACAUACCUUUCUGUAUGUUAUGCAUUCAACAGGGUUACCACGGAAACGUAUAUAUACCUAAAGGCAAUGAUAUAAACGGAAUGCAGACGUUCAGAUACACAAAGUUUUACAGCAGAUGAAGCAUGUAAGGUGUGUAUGUUUACUUUUUCUUCCUUUUGGCAACAUUGUUAUGUUUGUUUUUAGCUCGACUUUUCGAAGAAAAUGUAGAGCUAUUGCACUCGCCCCGGCGUCGGCGUCGGCGUCGCCGGUGGUUAAAGUUUUUGAUAAAGUCAAAUAUCUCUGUUACUAUCAAAGCUAUUGACUUGAAACUUACAAUACUUAUUUACUAUUAAAGUCUACACCAGGAGAAACAAUCCCCAUAACUCUGAUUUGAAUUUUGACAGAAUUAUGCCCCUUUUUAACUUCGAAAUUUUGGUUAUAGUUUUUGAUAAAGUCAAGUAUCUCUGUUACUAUCAAAGCUUUUGACUUGAAACUUAAAAUACUUCUUUACUAUCAAAGUCUACACCAGGAGAAACAAUCCCCUUAACUCUGAUUUGAUUUUGAGAGAUUUAUGCCCCUUUUUAACUUAGAAACUUUGGUUAAAGUUUUUGAUAAAGUCAAAUAUCUCUGUUACUAUCAAAGCUAUUGACUUGAAACUUAAAAUACUUCUUUUUUAUUAUUAAAGUCUACACCAGGAGAAACAAUUCCUAUACCUCUCGUUUGAAUUUUGACAGAAUUAUGCCCCUUUUAAACAUAGAAUUUUUAGUUAAAGUUUUUGAUAAAGUCAGAUAUCUCUGUUACUAUCAAAGCUUUUGACUUGAAACUUAAAAUGCUUAUUUACAAUCGAAGUCUACACCAGGAGAAUUAAUUCCCAUAACUCUGAUUUGAAUUUUGACAGAAUUAUGCCCCUUUUAACUUAGAUUUUUUUGUUAAAUUUUUUCAUAAAGUCAAAUAUCUCUGUUACUAUUAAAGCUUUUGACUUGGAACUCAAAAUUGUUAUUUAAUUUCAAAGUCUACACACGGAGACACAAUUCUCAUAACUAUAAUUUGAAUUUUAACAGAGUUAUGCCCCUUUUUAACUUGGAUUUUUUUACUGCCAAAGCUCAAAUUCAGAGUCAAGCACUGAGAAAAGUCGAGCAUGCCGUCUUACGGACAGCUCUUGUUGUUUUUACACAUUUCGUCUGUAUCUUAUACAAACAACAGGUUUAGCACGGAAACGCAUGUCCACGUCAAUGCAAUGGUAUAAAUGGAUAACCGACGUUCAGAUGUACUAAGUUAUACAGCACAUUUUGGAACAUAAAGGGUUUGUAUAUUUACUUUUCUUUUGAUGCGUAAUUUGUAUAAAGGUAACACUAAUAUUAUAUAUGUUUGUUUCUGUUCUUACACAUGCAUUUCUCUAUCUAUACACUAAACAGGGUUACCAUGGAAACGUACCUUUUUAUCUAGGCAAUUGUAUACACUGAUGACCGGCGUUCAAGGCCCUGGCAAAGAGAGAAAUCCAGCUGUCGAUCAAGCGCUACAGGUUUAGCUUUAAAUAAUCUAAGCCUUGCUAAGACCUGAAAAUAAAUGUCAGGCAAAACUGAAACAAAAGCAAAAUAACUGGAUGCACUUAUAGAUCACCUGAUCUAUCUUGUAUAUUUUUGCUUCGUAAUACUGUUUGUUUAGUGUAUGCUGUUUUGUCAGGGAUCUGUUUGCAGUGGCUACUUGGUUGUUUUUGUGGUGGUGUUUGUUGUGGUGUUUUUGUGUAUAUGGAGGUGUCUGUGGUGGUUUCAAUGUGGUCUUCUCGGUUUUAUUCUUGAUGGUUGUAUUGUUUUGUUGAAAACGGGCAUUUGGUGCGUUUUGUUUGUUGUAUCGGGCUGUCGACAUGGUGUUUUUUCUUUCUGCCAUUACCAAUGUAUUAUUACUCGCUUUGUAUACUGUAGAAAAUUAUUAGAAUAAGUUCAAUAUUACAUUUUGUUAUAACUUUACUUGUCCAGCAAAUUUUAGAUACCCGGAAACACAUAUGAAGAUAUAUGCGGACGAAUAGGCAUCAUGUGCAGACGAAGGCUUGGACUGGGAAGCAUGCGCCGUUGUUUUAUUUCUGCUUUUUAUUCCUUUUGUUUUGCAUUGCUUUUCCACUAGACUAUUGGGGCACGUGAAGAACGAAGACGCAGACGGAUAUUGAAGAUGCAUACCAGACAAAAUUUGGGUUACUUUUUAUCACGAACAGGUGCGUAUGUUGCUUUUUAUAUUAUUCUAUUUUGUAUGCAUCCCUUCGCAGAAUUUUCAAGUUGAAUACAAGCUGGUGUAAAGAUGUAGCAUUGUCGAUGACACAAUCAUCUAGUGGAUGGUGAAGAUAGCGCGGCUGACGUUGACUGUACAGAUACGCGUUAAGAUGUCAUGCUGUAGAUGUGACAAUGGUUUUGUGGACGACGCAGCUUGGUUCUUCUUUUUGGACGCACUGAGGAAGCAGAGGUCAAUUUUCCACUUGGAGUAAUUCAAUAGCAUGGCAAUGUGGACACAGAUCCUGGUUUUGGUAAAAGAAGUACUCGAAAUAUCCGACGAAAAGCAAUUUCUUGGAUUAUACACGAAGAAAAUGUUAGUUAAUGGAACAAUAGCAGCAGUAGAACUACCUUGCUGGUACCCAAACGAAGCCGGUCAUCAGAUGUGCAUUGAAACCCUAUCAAACCCUUGCGUUACCAUGGUAAUCAGCCGUUAUCAACAAGGCAAAGUAGUGCAUGGAUAUAGUGGAAUUCAAGCCUUGGUGGACCUUUCUUCUUUAUUUGUCCAGUCUUGUUGAUGGUAGACAGCUGUUCUACACCUCGUACACAACAGUGAAACCCCCUCGGACGAAGAAUUCGUUCAGAUCUAAAAGGCAAGAAGACAGUUUUUGCCAUUAUUGAAAGACAUAGGAAAAAAAAGCAAUGUCAGAAAACAAAUAUCACCAUACCGUCUUGUCUUGAAUGUUUCCAACAGCUGACAGUCCGAUGUAAGCCAGAUUCACAAGUAAGAAGUAUCUGCAGAAGAAAGAACCAAUUAUGGUAGAUCCACGACAGUCCUGUCACAAGCAAACAUGGUAUCACCACAGCCCUGACACAAGCUUUGUUGAGAUUAGAUAUAAACUAACAUGUAUAUAAUUAUACCUUCAUGUACAAAGUACACGGGAUUAUAUUGGAGUCACACAUGUCAGCGAGUCCGUUCGUCCGUUCGCCUAUCUGUGCAUCAUGUCCGCUGGGAAGAUUGAAAAAAAAUGGCUUCAUUUAUUAGCCUCAACAAGAAUGUUUGUUGUGCACAACCCAAGUUACUAGGCCCAAGGUCAGUAUUACUCUUGGUGGACAAAGAUCAAAUAACUUUAAUUUAGUGUCCGCUCCAUAUUGUCUUAACUGCAACGAAUAUUUAGGUCAAGCAUUCGUUAUUGUACUGCCCUGCCUUCAGGGUCACUGUCACCGUUGCACUCAGGUUAAACUUUUAUAUGAUUCUCAAAAUCACUAUAUUUUCUUAACUACUGCCCAUAUUAGCAUCAAACUUCACAUUUGUUGAUUGUGGUAAAACGCAGACAAUUAUUUGUUAGGGGUCAAGCAUCCAAAAGGUCAAAGUUACUUGGGUCAUAUUUUGUAAUUGUGCUGGUUAAAUCUUAGAUUGUUUCUUAUAUCUUCUCAUUCACCCGCCCCUACCCCCUACUCUACCCCCAAAAGGAAAAGAGUCUUAUUCAUCACUCACGCUUACUUAUAUCCUAUAGCAAUAAAUAUUGGUCAGCAUUUCCGAAUAGUCACGCGGGCUUUCCUUACAACAGUUCUUGAUAUAAAAUUAGGAUUAGUAAAUAGAUGUAAGCACUCACAACCUAGUUCAUUCGGUCAAAGGUCAAGUUCUGACUUAAAAGACCGCACCAUAUUGUCUAAUCUAAUAAAGUAAGCACUAACUGUCAAUUCCAUCUAGCCACUAGGUUAAAGGUCAGUGUGACACAUAUGAGGUCAAAGGUCAAAUAGCUUUGUGUCUGCUACAUAUCUUGUAACCCCAUUUUCCAUACACUCAUAAAACUAGCAAUAAAUAUCAAGAAGACCUGUAUAGAACCCAGGUUAUUAAAUCCAAGGUCAAGGUUACGCUUGAAUGUCAAAAUGUUGACAACAUUGACUUACCCUGCAUCAAAGAAGCGUCUGGGGGUAACAAUCGCUCUAGUUUAUCAUUUUUAGCGGACUAAAUUUGUAAUUGUUUCAACCAUUUGACAAAUAUUUCCUAAACUUUAGGAUAAAUAUUUAAAACAAAAAUCAGUAAAUUGUUUGUUUUUUUUAACACUGAUACAUUCAAACUAUUUUUAGACACAGCGAAUAUUUUAGCUUGAUUUGUUGGCAGUCAUGAUUUUAUGCAAGGUAUUUUUCUAAAUGAUAUUUUUAUUACAAAUACAAAAUGUAGCACAUUUGACAUUAAUGUAAAAAAGCAGGGACAGUGAAUUUUGUAAGAAAAAAAUGUAGUUGGUUAAAUAUUUCAAAAAGUGUCUCAAAUUUUUGCUCUUUUGAACAGUUGCGUUUUAACUGGUCAGGGAUUGUUUCAAAAAUAAAUAUGCGUAGUUUAGUUGAUGUAUAAAAAGCUACUUUUUGCAACUUGUACAUUUUGGAGUGGGGGCUAAAUUACAAACCCUCAUAUAUUUUAAAACAUAUAGAGGACAUUCCUUUGUUUCAGUGUAAGCUCGAAACAGAAACAUACUAAUGUUCACACGUGAAAAUUUCUAAAAAAUAAUCACACGGAUUUUAUUCUAUUGCAUUUUAUUAUUAUUUUUAUUUUAUAUUUUCUGCCAACCUAACGCCAUACGCUAUGUGUAACGUUACUCUACAUUUUAUGGCAAUACUUAUGUUGGAAAAAAGUGACAUAGUGACAUUUCAAUCUACAUGUAGUUAUGUUUUAGUUAAAAUAAUAUCUGAUUCUACGUUAUUCAUAUUCUUACGUUAAAUUGUGGUUACAUACAAGUGAAAAUUGUAUUUGGAUUUCUCACCUUUUAAGAGCGGCUGUAUCAGGGUAUAAUGCAUCGUCGUUUUCUUGAAAUCUCAAAAUAUGGUAUAUAAUUCCAU
Mercenaria mercenaria is the source of this 5373-nucleotide long non-coding RNA. RefSeq lists it as uncharacterized. NCBI's taxonomy places the organism in Eukaryota, Metazoa, Mollusca, Bivalvia, Venerida, Veneridae. The record is from RefSeq and is a predicted model, not a curated record. The transcript is spliced from 9 exons.